GCAACUCGGCUGCAUGAAGCUGGAAUCGCUAGUAAUCGCGGAUCAGAAUGCCGCGGUGAAUACGUUCCCGGGUCUUGUACACACCGCCCGUCACACCAUGGGAGUCGGGAAUGCCCGAAGUCAGUGACCCAACCGAAAGGGGGGAGCUGCCGAAGGCAGGCCUGGUAACUGGGGUGAAGUCGUAACAAGGUAUC
RNAcentral lists this ribosomal RNA (194 nucleotides) under uncultured bacterium. Its description in RNAcentral is "partial 16S ribosomal RNA". It matches the Rfam family "Bacterial small subunit ribosomal RNA", at positions 1307 to 1500 of the family's 1533-position model. The record is from RNAcentral.